Non-coding RNA from Ixodes scapularis (black-legged tick), 73 nucleotides. Lineage: Eukaryota; Metazoa; Arthropoda; Arachnida; Ixodida; Ixodidae. The record is from Rfam.
GCCUCGGUGGCUCCGAGGAGAGAGCGCUGGACUACGGACCCCCUUGUGGCGGGUUCGAAUCCCGGCCGAGGUG